Stegostoma tigrinum is the source of this 3282-nucleotide long non-coding RNA. RefSeq lists it as uncharacterized. The record is from RefSeq and is a predicted model, not a curated record. NCBI's taxonomy places the organism in Eukaryota, Metazoa, Chordata, Chondrichthyes, Orectolobiformes, Stegostomatidae. The transcript has 5 exons.
UAUAAAAAACACACUAUUUCACUCUCUUGACAUAAGCAUGAGGACUUCCCCUAUUGGUCUAAUGUUGCACAGCUGAUGUAAUAAUCAUCACAGCAGGUUCCCUGAUGCAGGACUUCUUCUAACCUACCUCUGCAUUUGGCAUUCUCUAGACUACUUCCAGGGUCAGCUGCGUCAGCUUCUAAAAUAGUCUGCCACCUCCCAGACUGAAAAUCUGACAUCUGGGAAGCAAUAUGUUAGAGUUUGAUUUGUGGAGCCAGGAAUUCUCCCAACUCUGUGCGUGUGACUUGUACAAAAGUCCCGACCAAAGAGAUCCUUCAUCAUCAGCGACCCCUUGAUCUGAGGAUGAUGAUCUACUCAGGGCCAUGAAUUUCUGCUGUGGCUCUUCCUGUGACUGGUCAAGUUGAUUCCUGAUUCUGAGAUUUUGAGGUUGCACAUGGGAUCUGUGCCAUUACUUACCUUGGGUGAAAUGCCAGGAUAUCAAACCUCAGUGUGGCAGGUUCUGAGGUGCUAGAAGUUGCGUCAGUUCCUCAGCCUGGCUCCAUUUGAACCAUCAUCUCACUGAGCUUGUUACCUUCAGUCUUCUCUGCUGAGUCAUCAUUCUCGUAGAGGCUUCAACAGUACAACCAGAGAGGAGACCUUCCAGCUGCCAUUCAGCCCACUAUCAUGCCUACUCCAUUCAGGUAAAUGGAAUGGUAAAUGCCAUCCUUUUUCGAUAGGAGUUUGUUCAGCCAACCUGUAACUAGAAAGAAACACUUGAAUCCACAUCAUGCGUUUGAAGACCACUGGAUGUCUCAAAAUAUUUUACAGUAAAUGAAGUACAUCUAAUUUUCACAACAAAGAGAUAAUGAUUAUGUCCAGAAAAUCUAUUUCUGCAAUGAUUGAUUAUCAACCAGGACACCAGUGACAACAUCUUUUCCUCAAGAUAGUGCCAUGAGAUUGUUUCCACACUCCUCAAUAAACAGAUUUUUCAGCAUCUGCAGAUUUUGUGACAGAGGAGGGUCAACAGCUAUACAUGAUUGUUCCACAAAUAAAUCCUAUAAAAUGCCCAAGAAGGCACUAAAUGUGGACAGCAACAACAAAUUUGAGAGGUAACGAGACAACAUUUGAGAAGGAAAGUACAGUCGGUUUUGAGAUAGCAUAAUGCACUAUUUUUCGAACUAUGGAGUUGGUCAAAGGGUCUGCAUUUGUUUCUUCUGGGUCUGUACAUUUGUAACUUAUUAUGUUAAUUUGUAAAAAGCUUCACUCAAGGAAGCCUUAUAUCAAUCUGUUGCCAAUAAGUUCCAUUCCAUAAAAAUGACAACCAGCUAAAGAACCCAAUGUUGUUUUUAAAUACUAAAAUAUAAAUCAUACUUUUUAAAAUAGACCCCAAAUGUAAUACAUACUUAAGUCCCAAAUAUUUACCUUCCAAACGAUUGCCAAGAUGUAUGAGUGCUCCUGUCUGUGGCAACACCUCCUGGAAGUAUUUAAAUUAUAAAAUAUAAUGCGGACAGUAAUUCCUCUAGCACUCCAAAUUGACAACUAGCUAUUUUUUUCUUUCCACUCCCUGUUGGUGGGUAACAUGACCUAAUGGAUAACGUGUCUGACUUCAAUGUUAAUCAGGAUGCUAUCAGAUGAUUGCAGGUUGGAGUCCUGAUGCGAUUUCUUCACAGUGAUAAAUCUGUUGUGACUUUUACAACUUGGUGGGAUGAAGAAAGGUGUAGACUAUUUUCUGAAUGGGGAAAAGCUUUGGAAGUCAGAAGCACAAAGGGAUUUAGGAGUCCGAGUUCAGGUUUAAGAUUAAGCUGUAGAUUCAGUUCGGAGUUAAGAAGGCAAAUGCAAUAUUAACAUUCAUUUCAAGGGGGCUAGAAUACAAGAUCAGUGAUGUACCACUGAGACUGCAUAAUACUAUAGUCAGACCACAUUUGGGAUUUUGUGAGCAGUUUUGGGUCCCGUAUCCAAGGAAGGACAUGAUGGCAUUGGAAGGGGUUUCUAAGAAUGAGCCCGGGGAUUAAGGCCUUGUCAUUUGAGCCUCAGAGUGAAGGGAUGACCCUUAGAACUGAGAUGAUGAGGAGUUUCUUCAUCCAGAGGGUGAUUAAUCUGUGCAACUUAUUGCCAUAGAAGGCUUGGAGGCCAAGAGAUUGAGCGUAUUUAAGACAGAGAUAGACAGGUUCUUAAUUAGUGGGGGUUUCAAAGUUUCAGGAAGAAGGCAGGAGAAUGAGGUUGAGCAACUUAUCAGUUGUGAUCAAACGGCAGUGCAGAUUCUAUGGGCUGAUUGGCCUAAUUCUGCUCCUAUAUCUGGGUCUAGGCCCGAAACAUUAGCCUUCCAGCUCCCAUGAUGCUGCUUGGCCUGCUGUGUUCAUCCAGCUCUAUACCUUGUUAUCUCGGAUUCUCCAGUAUCUGCAGUUCCUAUUAUCUCCUGUAUCUAUGGUCUUCGAUUUCUGAAGUAUUGAGGUGAGCUGUAGCACUUAAACACAGGGAACGCUGGAGGUCAAAUCCAACAGUUUUCUGACCUGUAUUGCACUGCUAUUUAUCAGUAAACCUCCAAUCACAGAGAAGCAUUUGGCUCUAUUUCAAAAUUAUUGUUAUUUUUCUCCUUUUACAUCUUUAAUCUUAUUAUGUCCCCUGUUCUCACCUUCUUUGCAACUGACAACCUACAAUGGUUUCCAGUCUAGCAAUAACUCAAAUCUAAAAUUCUCACCCAUGUAAUCAUUUUUCUCUGUGGCCUCACUCUUGUCUAUCGUUGUAACUUUCCCCGGUCUUCAGCUUUCUGCACCCAUUCGAUCCUGACUCCAGGUUCAUCUACAGUUUCCCGUGAACCACUCUUGGACCUUGUGCAUUCAACAAUGGGAAUUUCAGGCCUGCUAAACCUCUUCAGUUCCUCUUUCCCUAUGCCGGUGAUUUGUGUGCACUUCCUCUGUGUGUCAAGUGCUUGAACUCCAGCGUACCUUUCUUUUAAAUCAUUUAAUGAAAUGGAAUAUGCAAUGAACGUGAAGCAUUAUUGCACACUUCACCACAUUGUUGAAGGAAAAGCUGCUCUGGCAUGCUGAAUAUUGGCCAAAAAUGUUGGCAGAGCAAGAUGGUAGCGGCCUGGUGCAGGAAUGGAGGCAGCUAGUCAGUGACCAGGCCACAUGGUGGCCCCCUCCACACUGGUCUGCCACAGAGACACUUUGGACAGAGACUGUGGUGUUUGUCUUUUUAAUUUUGCUUCUUGCUUAUUUCUGAUCUAUGAUUAAACUGUGUAUAGCUGUAAGGUAACAUUUUUUCUUCAUUUCUCUAUUCUGUACCUAUGUUGGCACUGUAAGU